Molecule: long non-coding RNA, 594 nt
Filed under: Apteryx owenii (little spotted kiwi)
Lineage: Eukaryota; Metazoa; Chordata; Aves; Apterygiformes; Apterygidae
Description: lncRNA (ENSAOWG00000006422.1)
Source: RNAcentral
AUCACUUGAUUGAUCCAAGUUACAAGAGGAUGGAUGACACGACAGGAGGCUGGAGACAAACAAGUGGCACCUCUGGCUGCGAGCGCUCACUGCCACUGCUGUCCACACAAAGGCAACCAGAGCUACCUCCCUCCUCCAUCCCCUUCUCACUCGUUUACAUCUCCUGUCAGGCUUUGGCAAAUUCCCUCAUCCUGUUAAUUUUCAGACACCGGUGAUAAUGGAUCGCUGCAAGAAUGGAUUCAUUUAUCCCAGGCUGUUUAAAGAUUUGAAAAGGUUGCACUUCAAAGUCAGGAAAAUGGGACACAGUGCAGGCUCUGGUUCUGCAGUCACGUCAGCAUCAUCAGUCCUUCUGUCUAGCAGUGCAGGCUUCAUCGCAGGAGGCCUAAAAGUUCACGUGCAGAAUUCUUGCAGGUUCAGUGCAACAGUCCUUUCCUGUUUUCUAAGAAGAACUGCUUUCCCCCCAGGCUGAUCAUGAGCCACCCCAACCAUGUGAUCCAAUGAGUAUAGUGACGAUGUUUCUGAGGCCUUCAGGUAAGGGCUCUGUUUCCUCCCUCCUUCACUUCUUUUCAUGGCAUGUGUUGUGGUAAAUGUUGG